CAACUACAACCGCACAGAACAAGUUUUAAGUAUCUUUUUGAUCACUUGGGAUGGCGAGUCUAAGUUUAA
Molecule: small RNA, 69 nt
Filed under: uncultured Tetragenococcus sp.
Lineage: Bacteria; Bacillati; Bacillota; Bacilli; Lactobacillales; Enterococcaceae
Source: RNAcentral